Molecule: non-coding RNA, 113 nt
Organism: Acanthosepion pharaonis
Lineage: Eukaryota; Metazoa; Mollusca; Cephalopoda; Sepiida; Sepiidae
Source: the annotation of a GenBank genome assembly
UUCGACCAUAUCAUAUCGAAACUUUGGUUUCCAUACGAUCACCGAAGUUAAGCAACGCCGAGCCUUGUCUGUACUUAGAUGGAUAAGCGCAUGGGAAUGCCAAGUGCAGUAAG